CCUACGGGAGGCAGCAGUGGGGAAUCUUGCGCAAUGGGCGAAAGCCUGACGCAGCAACGCCGCGUGCGGGAAGAAGGCUUUCGGGCUGUAAACCGCUUUCAGCAGGAACGAAAAUGACGGUACCUGCAGAAGAAGGAGCGGCCAACUAUGUGCCAGCAGCCGCGGUGAUACAUAGGCUUCAAGCGUUGUCCGGAUUUAUUGGGCGUAAAGAGUUCGUAGGCGGUCAAGUAAGUCGGGUGUGAAAAUUCUGGGCUCAACCCAGAGACGCCACCCGAUACUGCUUAACUUGAGUUCGAUAGGGGAGUGGGGAAUUCCUAGUGUAGCGGUGAAAUGCGCAGAUAUUAGGAGGAACACCGGUGGCGAAGGCGCCACUCUGGAUCGAUACUGACGCUGAGGAACGAAAGCAUGGGUAGCAAACAGGAUUAGAUACCCUGGUAGUCCAUGCCGUAAACGGUGGGCACUAGGUGUGGGUUUCUAUUAACGAAAUCCGCGCCGUCGCUAACGCAUUAAGUGCCCCGCCUGGGGGAGGUACGGUCGCGAGACGUAAACUUAAAGUAGAGUAGUAACGGUCGUAGUUAGUUGUCGAGGACGACACGAGGGAGAGG
Molecule: ribosomal RNA, 605 nt
Filed under: uncultured bacterium
Lineage: Bacteria
Description: bacterial SSU rRNA
Rfam family: Bacterial small subunit ribosomal RNA
Source: RNAcentral